RNAcentral lists this ribosomal RNA (465 nucleotides) under uncultured bacterium. RNAcentral's name for it is "partial 16S ribosomal RNA". It matches the Rfam family "Bacterial small subunit ribosomal RNA", at positions 338 to 795 of the family's 1533-position model. The record is from RNAcentral.
CCUACGGGUGGCAGCAGUGGGGAAUAUUGCGCAAUGGGCGAAAGCCUGACGCCGCGACGCCGCGUGAGGGAUGAAGGUUUGAGGAUCGUACACCUCUGUCAGAAGGGAAGAAGUUGCAUGGGGCAAAUCACCUGUGCAUUGACGGUACGUUUAAAGGAAGCACCGGCUAACUCCGGGCCAGCAGCCGCGGUAAUACGGAGGGUGAUCGCGUGAAUUGGAAUUGUGGGGCGUAAAGCGCACGUGGGCGGUAUGUCAAGUCAAGGGUGAAAUGCCACGGCUCAAACGUGGAACUGCCUUUGAAACUGGCAGUCUGGAGGAUGUGUGAGGGCGGCGGAAUUCCUGGUGUAGGAGUGAAAUGCGUAGAUAUCAGGAGGAACAUCGAUGGCGAAGGCGGCCGCCUGGCACAAAACUGACGCUGAGGUGCGAAAGCGUGGGUAGCAAACAGGAUUAGAUACCCUAGUAGUC